RNAcentral lists this ribosomal RNA (305 nucleotides) under uncultured bacterium. RNAcentral describes it as "bacterial SSU rRNA". It matches the Rfam family "Bacterial small subunit ribosomal RNA", at positions 337 to 634 of the family's 1533-position model. The record is from RNAcentral.
GCCUACGGGAGGCAGCAGUGGGGAAUAUUGCGCAAUGGGCGAAAGCCUGACGCAGCGACGCCGCGUGAGGGAUGAAGGUCUUCGGAUCGUAAACCUCUGUCAGCAGGGAAGAACGGUCACUGUGCUAAUCAGCAGUGAAUUGACGGUACCUGCAAAGGAAGCACCGGCUAACUCCGUGCCAGCAGCCGCGGUAAUACGGAGGGUGCGGCCGUUAAUCGGAAUUACUGGGCGUAAAGUGCUCGUAGGCGGUAUGUCAAGUCAAGGGUGAAAUCCCCGCGCUCAACGUGGGAACUGCUUGUGAAACU